CACAGCUGGUGAGCACCAAGGCCAGGAUCCGAACCCAGGACUCCUGACUCCAUCAGGGCAGUAGUGUAGAAUUCCUCUGUCUAUGGCCAUGUGCCCCCAAGCCUCUGGACUGUACCCUGGACACCCAGGGGGAUGUCCUUCCGCCAAAGGAAGGUCCUUUCCUAGCUCUUCCCCUGGCCAGCUCAUUCCCCCAGCUAGGUCUCAGCUCAAAUAU
Molecule: non-coding RNA, 214 nt
Organism: Ceratotherium simum simum (southern white rhinoceros)
Lineage: Eukaryota; Metazoa; Chordata; Mammalia; Perissodactyla; Rhinocerotidae
Source: RefSeq, a predicted model, not a curated record